Long non-coding RNA from Cucumis sativus (cucumber), 766 nucleotides. RefSeq lists it as uncharacterized. The transcript is spliced from 3 exons. Lineage: Eukaryota; Viridiplantae; Streptophyta; Magnoliopsida; Cucurbitales; Cucurbitaceae. The record is from RefSeq and is a predicted model, not a curated record.
AAUAUCUUUUUCCUCUCUCCCCUCUCUCACGCGUGCGACACCCCUCUCUCCAUCUUUUUCUUCUUCUCUUUCCUGUACCCUAACCCAGCCGACCAUCAUCUUCUCCCCUUCCCUUGCCGUUCAGAUCCAUGGCCUCCGCCCACCGCCGCGUGACCCUCUGCCCAGCCCCGCCGCGUGACCUCUGUCUCCGUCGAAGCCAAGUCCAGCCGUCGUCCAUUCCUUUCCUCUCUUCUUCUCCGUUCGUGAAGCCCAGUCGCCGCGUCAGAUCGUCGAUCGAUUUUGAGGCAGCGCGCACGCCUCCUUCUAGCCGCGCGUGUUUCCUCUUCUUCCAGCAACGUGUUUUUUCUUCUAACCGCGAUUCACAAACCGACGUACACUCUAAUCUGUUUGCACGAUGGUUUUUGUUUAGAAUCGAUUGCCGCUGCCCCUAUUUUUACUGAGAUCCGUCGAAGUAUUGUUGGUGUGAAAGGUAACCUUGGAUCACUUAAAUUCACAACCAAUUUGUGAAUUUUGAUUUCGGUUUGCCCUUAUUUGGAUUGUUUCGUGGACGAUAGUUGAUUAAGGGAGCUUCCCUAACUUUGAGGCAAAGGUAAUAAAGGCAGCAAACCGGCGAGGGGCAGGAAGGAAGCGUGACCGCCACAGGGGACACUUUAAAAUUUUGCUUCCGCUUAGUGAUUUAUAGUAUUAUUUGUAUUCGAACGUGAGACUGUUUAGAAAAUUUUGAAGUUUUAAAGUAUUCAAAGAUUUGAAACUUUUUAGUUUUAAA